Long non-coding RNA from Sciurus carolinensis (gray squirrel), 1646 nucleotides. RefSeq lists it as uncharacterized. The transcript is spliced from 3 exons. NCBI's taxonomy places the organism in Eukaryota, Metazoa, Chordata, Mammalia, Rodentia, Sciuridae. The record is from RefSeq and is a predicted model, not a curated record.
UUGUGACAGCGACAAGGGGCUUUCGCAGCUCAGUGCCAGUGGCAGUGAAGAGCUCUGGGAGCCCCUCACUGUCCCAUCAGGACAAGCUGUGGCCACGCUCCAGGAAAAGUGUUUUGAGGGGUCCAAUCUUUCUCCAGAGAACCAAGACCAGGAAAGUUGGGAUCACAAAUCCCACAAGUAGAAAAAGGACUUACUGUGUGUUCAGAGUACCAGUGGUAACAGAGACCACAGCAGAGCAUCUGUGCGGCCAACUGGGAAAGGGCGAGUGGCUCGACAGUGAUGUCUUUUUCUGUCAUUUACAGAGUGCUUUCACCAACAUUUCACUUAAUAUGAGUGGAAGGACUUAACCACUGUAAUUUCAAAGGCUAAGAGAAAGAUAUACUAACUUCAGGAGAAACUGAAACUGUAAAUGGGCAGCAAAGUUAGCUGGACACCCUUUCAGGGGAUUCGGAAAGUUGCCAUGAAUUCAGAGUGAUCAAACUCCUAGCAAGGAGUGUGUGCAGAUUGGGGCAGUCAGUGCUCCAUGGGCCCGGGAGGGUGUGAGGAGAUGCAUGACGUGGCUGCAAGUCCUCGUCCCCUGGCCUCGGAACGAAGAGGCCGCACACCCAGGCCCUAGAAACACUGGCAAGGCCACGAGCUACUGCAUGUCUGCACAUCAGAGACGCUUAAGGCCACAAGAAAAGGAAGCCUGGGGACGGUCACGCCUGUGUGCGAGGCAAGGUGGAGCAGAAGAGACGCCGCAGGUCGCUGCCACCUCACAGCACCACAGCGUUCACCCGUUGCUCCCGCCCUCUCCCCAGCACACACUGGCAUGUGAGAGGGAGACGUGGCUCCUCUGAGCACGGUGGCAUGGUGCUCACAAGUGUGCUCUCAAGUGCCUCAGGAUUGAACCCCAGUGCAGUAAACGUCAGCACACAGAACUCACCUUCACGGGUGACAUGGAGAGCCCCCGCGGGCUGCAGUCCCUCACCUGUGACCUGGGCACAUGGCAACAUCUGGGGCAAGGGGGUUUGGCUCGCUGCCUCCUCCCCUUCCACACCUUCUGCACUAGGAUUCUAUGGUCCCACAACACCGAAGUGUCGCUCCCACUUUGGGAGCUGGCUCUGACCUCGCAGCGCUGUAGCGUCAAGAACUUCACUGGCUGGAGAAGGGAACUCUCCUCCCAGUGGCAGCACAGGGACUUGGGCUGAGCACCGGCCUGUGUCAUCGCACACCACCUCACACAGUGCAGGGCAGUGCCACACAGGCAGGGUUUCACUCUGGAGUGAUUGCCUUGUCCUGGAGUUCACAGUAAAGGGUAUUUGCUUUGUUGAUCUAUGUCUUGGUGUCAUCUCUAACCCCCCUUAGACUAUAUGAAAAGAAAAUAAUUGUUUCUUUAUUUCUAGGGGAGUCAAAUCCUUCUGCACAUCUGGGAUUUAGGCAUUAUUAAAAAUAAUGAAUUCCUGGGCUGAGGGAAUAGCUCGGUGAUAGAGCAUUUGUUUAGCAUAAGCAAGGCCCCAGGAUUUAUCCUCAGCCUGAAAAAAGAGUUCCCUAAUUUAUUUGGUCAUAUUGUACACUUUCUUCAUUGUUUGAAAUAUACAGAGUAACAGUACUGUAAAAUACACUGACUUUUAAAUAAAUUUUGCUUCUUUCCAAAAGAAAUUGCC